UGCCUGGUAGUGGGGGACAACGUUUCGAAAGGAACGCUAAUACCGCAUACGUCCUACGGGAGAAAGCAGGGGACCUUCGGGCCUUGCGCUAUCAGAUGAGCCUAGGUCGGAUUAGCUAGUUGGUGGGGUAAUGGCUCACCAAGGCGACGAUCCGUAACUGGUCUGAGAGGAUGAUCAGUCACACUGGAACUGAGACACGGUCCAGACUCCUACGGGAGGCAGCAGUGGGGAAUAUUGGACAAUGGGCGAAAGCCUGAUCCAGCCAUGCCGCGUGUGUGAAGAAGGUCUUCGGAUUGUAAAGCACUUUAAGUUGGGAGGAAGGGCAGUAAGCUAAUACCUUGCUGUUUUGACGUUACCGACAGAAUAAGCACCGGCUAACUCUGUGCCAGCAGCCGCGGUAAUACAGAGGGUGCAAGCGUUAAUCGGAAUUACUGGGCGUAAAGCGCGCGUAGGUGGUUCGUUAAGUUGGAUGUGAAAGCCCCGGGCUCAACCUGGGAACUGCAUCCAAAACUGGCGAGCUAGAGUACGGUAGAGGGUGGUGGAAUUUCCUGUGUAGCGGUGAAAUGCGUAGAUAUAGGA
This 579-nucleotide ribosomal RNA is filed under the name uncultured Pseudomonas sp. RNAcentral describes it as "bacterial SSU rRNA". It matches the Rfam family "Bacterial small subunit ribosomal RNA", at positions 127 to 701 of the family's 1533-position model. Lineage: Bacteria; Pseudomonadati; Pseudomonadota; Gammaproteobacteria; Pseudomonadales; Pseudomonadaceae. The record is from RNAcentral.